AGAUUGAACGCUGGCGGCGUGCUUAACACAUGCAAGUCGAGCGGUAACGCGGGAGCAAUCCUGGCGACGAGCGGCGAACGGGUGAGUAAUGCUUGGGAAUCUGCCCAUUAGUGGGGAACAACCAGCCGAAAGGUUGGCUAAUACCGCAUACGCCCUACGGGGGAAAGCGGGGGAUCGAAAGACCUCGCGCUAAUGGAUGAGCCCAAGUCGGAUUAGCUUGUUGGUAGGGUAACGGCCUACCAAGGCGACAAUCCGUAGCUGGUCUGAGAGGACGACCAGCCACACUGGGACUGAGACACGGCCCAGACUCCUACGGGAGGCAGCAGUGGGGAAUAUUGGACAAUGGGGGCAACCCUGAUCCAGCGACGCCGCGUGUGUGAAGAAGGCCUGCGGGUUGUAAAGCACUUUUAGUGGGGAUGAAAAGCUCAGGGUUAACACCUCUGGGUCUUGACCUAACCACAGAAAAAGCACCGGCUAACUCUGUGCCAGCAGCCGCGGUAA
Molecule: ribosomal RNA, 501 nt
Filed under: uncultured bacterium
Lineage: Bacteria
Description: SSU rRNA
Rfam family: Bacterial small subunit ribosomal RNA
Source: RNAcentral